CCCCCUCCGAGAACCCUGGGAUGGCGGUUACGCGGCCUGCACCCUGCGGGGCACAGAAGUUCGGCUAACCUGAAGGGACCCCGAGGCUGGCGGCGGGGGACCCGCGUGUCUGGGAGGGUCCAGAGCAGGAAGAGCUCACAUUCUGCUUUGGCCUCAGGGCUCAGGCCUGGACUGAUGGCAGCGGGACAGAUGUGAGCUAGACGUCAGGAGGGACUUCCCGACA
Nyctereutes procyonoides (raccoon dog) is the source of this 223-nucleotide long non-coding RNA. RefSeq lists it as uncharacterized. The record is from RefSeq and is a predicted model, not a curated record. NCBI's taxonomy places the organism in Eukaryota, Metazoa, Chordata, Mammalia, Carnivora, Canidae. The transcript is spliced from 3 exons.